CGAAGGGUGCCAGGCUGUGGGUCGGAACUGCUCUCUACAAGCUGCUGGGUGCGGAGCUCACAAAAGGGAUUUCUUUCGACAAGCUGGACAUUGGAAGAAGGCUGCGAGAAGGGAAUUGAACAUGAGAAACACUCUUGUGGGAGUGGAUUCUUACAGGAACACCCCAGUCACUGUGGCUUCAGCGUGGCUGCAUUUAUGAAAGGCUGGAAGUAGAAAACUCUGGAAUGGAGAGACUAGCAGCUGGAACAGGAUUCAAAGGCUUUAAAUUUUAACCCGAGUUCGAUCGAAAGUUACUACCACAAGAGACUGGCACGGGCCGGCCCAAUUCCCACCACGGCUUCCAGCGGCUUGCUUUGGGUUGUCCGGAUCAGAGAAGCACUCCAUAUCCCCUUGGGGUCAUGAGCAGAACGAUCUGAACCCCGGCAGAUGUGAUAGACCUGUGUCCCGGAAUCCCGGAACUGAACCCAGGAAGGGUGUAGACUCUCAAAGAUCCAAACCAGAACAAGAAGAAUCCUGUUCUCUAGCUAAGAAGACAGUGAAAGAGAUGCACAGAGGCAGAGCCCAUAGAGGG
RNAcentral lists this long non-coding RNA (571 nucleotides) under Mus musculus (house mouse). Its description in RNAcentral is "GATA binding protein 6, opposite strand". The record is from RNAcentral. Lineage: Eukaryota; Metazoa; Chordata; Mammalia; Rodentia; Muridae.